Molecule: ribosomal RNA, 660 nt
Filed under: Rhodococcus sp. (in: high G+C Gram-positive bacteria)
Lineage: Bacteria; Bacillati; Actinomycetota; Actinomycetes; Mycobacteriales; Nocardiaceae
Description: bacterial SSU rRNA
Rfam family: Bacterial small subunit ribosomal RNA
Source: RNAcentral
CUGGGUGGAUUAGUGGCGAACGGGUGAGUAACACGUGGGUGAUCUGCCCUGCACUUCGGGAUAAGCCUGGGAAACUGGGUCUAAUACCGGAUAGGACCUCGGGAUGCAUGUUCCGGGGUGGAAAGGUUUUCCGGUGCAGGAUGGGCCCGCGGCCUAUCAGCUUGUUGGUGGGGUAACGGCCCACCAAGGCGACGACGGGUAGCCGGCCUGAGAGGGCGACCGGCCACACUGGGACUGAGACACGGCCCAGACUCCUACGGGAGGCAGCAGUGGGGAAUAUUGCACAAUGGGCGCAAGCCUGAUGCAGCGACGCCGCGUGAGGGAUGACGGCCUUCGGGUUGUAAACCUCUUUCAGUACCGACGAAGCGCAAGUGACGGUAGGUACAGAAGAAGCACCGGCCAACUACGUGCCAGCAGCCGCGGUAAUACGUAGGGUGCGAGCGUUGUCCGGAAUUACUGGGCGUAAAGAGCUCGUAGGCGGUUUGUCGCGUCGUCUGUGAAAACCCGCAGCUCAACUGCGGGCUUGCAGGCGAUACGGGCAGACUUGAGUACUGCAGGGGAGACUGGAAUUCCUGGUGUAGCGGUGAAAUGCGCAGAUAUCAGGAGGAACACCGGUGGCGAAGGCGGGUCUCUGGGCAGUAACUGACGCUGAGGAGCGAA